GCACAAGCGGUGGAUGAUGUGGAUUAAUUCGAUGCAACGCGAAAACCUUACCUACCCUUGACAUGUCCGGAAUCCUGCAGAGAUGCGGGAGUGCCGAAAGGGAAUCGGAACACAGGUGCUGCAUGGCUGUCGUCAGCUCGUGUCGUGAGAUGUUGGGUUAAGUCCCGCAACGAGCGCAACCCUUAUCAUUAGUUGCUACGCAAGGGCACUCUAAUGAGACUGCCGGUGACAAACCGGAGGAAGGUGGGGAUGACGUCAAGUCCUCAUGGCCCUUAUGGGUAGGGCUUCACACGUCAUACAAUGGUCGGUACAGAGGGUUGCCAAGCCGCGAGGUGGAGCCAAUCCCAGAAAGCCGAUCGUAGUCCGGAUUGUUCUCUGCAACUCGAGAGCAUGAAGUCGGAAUCGCUAGUAAUCGCGGAUCAGCAUGUCGCGGUGAAUACGUUCCCAGGUCUU
This 453-nucleotide ribosomal RNA is filed under the name uncultured Thiobacillus sp. RNAcentral's name for it is "bacterial SSU rRNA". It matches the Rfam family "Bacterial small subunit ribosomal RNA", at positions 923 to 1382 of the family's 1533-position model. The record is from RNAcentral. Lineage: Bacteria; Pseudomonadati; Pseudomonadota; Betaproteobacteria; Nitrosomonadales; Thiobacillaceae.